This 1525-nucleotide ribosomal RNA is filed under the name metagenome. RNAcentral's name for it is "bacterial SSU rRNA". It matches the Rfam family "Bacterial small subunit ribosomal RNA". The record is from RNAcentral.
ACGCUGGCGGCAUGGCUAAGACAUGCAAGUCGUACGGAGUGGAAUGAGCUUGCUCGAUCCACUCAGUGGCGGACGGGAGAGUAAUGCAUGGGUAACGUACCCUGGACACGGGAAUAACCACGGGGCUUCGGCCUCUUUAGCGAAAGUGUGGCUAAUACCCGAUGAUGUCGCCUGAUCGCAUGGUCAGGCGCCCAAAGGUGGGGACCUUCGGGCCUGCCAGUCUGGGAUCGGCCCAUGUCUUAUCAGCUUGUCAGUAGGGUAAUGGCCUACCAAGGCUACGACGGGUAGCGGGCGUGAGAGCGUGACCCGCCUCAUCGGGACUGAGACACUGCCCGGACACCUACGGGUGGCUGCAGUAACGAAUAUUGGGCAAUGGGCGCAAGCCUGACCCAGCAAUGCCGCGUGCAGGAGGAAGCCUUUCGGGGUGUAAACUGCUGUCAGGGUUUAGCAAGCAAUGUAGGUUAAUAGCCUGCGGCGCUGAGCAGACCCAAAGGAAGCCUCGGCUAACUCUGUGCCAGCAGCCGCGGUAAGACAGAGGAGGCAAGCGUUGUUCGGAAUCACUGGGCUUAAAGCGGGUGUAGGCGGCUUGGUAAGUGUCCUGUGAAAGCCCACGGCUCAACCGUGGAAUUGCAGGGCAUACUGCCUGGCUUGAGGUUGGUAGAGGUGCCUGGAACUCUAGGUGGAGCGGUGAAAUGCGUAGAUAUCUAGAGGAACGCCAGAAGCGAAAGCGGGGCACUGGGCCAAUCCUGACGCUGAGACCCGAAAGCGUGGGGAGCAAACAGGAUUAGAUACCCUGGUAGUCCACGCCGUAAACGAUGCACACUAGGUGUCGGAGGCUCUGAUGCCCUCGGCGCCGAAGGAAAACUAAUAAGUGUGCCGCCUGGGGAGUACGGCCGCAAGGCUAAAACUCAAAGGAAUUGACGGGGGCUCACACAAGCGGUGGAGCAUGUGGCUUAAUUCGAAUUCAACGCGAAGAACCUUACCCAGGUUUGACAUGCUUGGAUGCUCUCCGGGGAUAACCCGGGGUAGCUGCCCUUCGGGGUGAAACUUGCACAGGUGUUGCACGGCUGUCGUCAGCUCGUGCUGUGAAGUGUCGGGUUAAGUCCCUUAACGAGCGAAACCCCUAUCGUUAGUUGCCAGCGGGUCAUGCCGGGGACUCUAGCGAGACUGCCGGCGUUAAGCCGGAGGAAGGUGGGGACGACGUCAAGUCAUCGUGGCCUUUAUGCCUGGGGAUGCACACGUGCUACAAUGGCCGCUACAGAGGGAAGCGAUACCGCGAGGUGGAGCAAAUCCCAAAAAAAGCGGCCUCAGUUCGGAUUGGAGUCUGUAAUUCGACUCCAUGAAGUCGGAAUCGCUAGUAAUCGCGUAUCAGCUACGACGCGGUGAAUGUGUUCCUGAGCCUUGUACACACCGCCCGUCAAGUCAUGGAAGCUGGUAGCACCCGAAGUCCGCUUAGCUAACCAAUACUCUUGGAAGCGGCGGCCGACGGUGAGACUGGUGACUGGGACUAAGUCGUAACAAGGUA